Molecule: ribosomal RNA, 340 nt
Filed under: Belocaulus angustipes
Lineage: Eukaryota; Metazoa; Mollusca; Gastropoda; Systellommatophora; Veronicellidae
Description: partial 16S ribosomal RNA
Rfam family: Archaeal large subunit ribosomal RNA
Source: RNAcentral
CGGCCGCAGUACCCUGACUGUGCUAAGGUAGCAUAAUAAAUUGAUUUUUAAUUGAAGUCUAGAAUGAAUGGAUUAAACGUAAAUUAACUGUCUUAAUAUAAUUUUCUUAAAAUUUUUUAUAAGGUGAAAAAACCUUAGGUUUUUAAAAGACGAGAAGACCCUAAGAAUUUUAAGAAAAAAUUUUCUAUCAUUCUUUUUGCUGGGGCGGCAAAGGAUCAAAAAACAUCCUAUUUAUUACCGAUUUUUUUCAUAAAAUUUAAAUUACCUUAGGGAUAACAGCAUAAAUGUGACCUCGAUGUUGGACUAGGAAAUUUUUUGGUUAGCCAUCAAAGAUUUUGGU